This 73-nucleotide transfer RNA is filed under the name Fidelibacterota bacterium. Its description in RNAcentral is "tRNA-Gly". It matches the Rfam family "tRNA". From Rfam's summary of the family: Transfer RNA (tRNA) molecules are approximately 80 nucleotides in length. Their secondary structure includes four short double-helical elements and three loops (D, anti-codon, and T loops). Lineage: Bacteria; Pseudomonadati; Fidelibacterota. The record is from RNAcentral.
GCGAAAGUAGCUCAGUUGGUAGAGCACAACCUUGCCAAGGUUGAUGUCGAGGGUUCGAGCCCCUUCUUUCGCU